RNAcentral lists this ribosomal RNA (253 nucleotides) under uncultured bacterium. Its description in RNAcentral is "partial 16S ribosomal RNA". It matches the Rfam family "Bacterial small subunit ribosomal RNA", at positions 524 to 776 of the family's 1533-position model. The record is from RNAcentral.
UACGAAGGGGGCUAGCGUUGCUCGGAAUCACUGGGCGUAAAGGGUGCGUAGGCGGGUUAUUAAGUCAGAGGUGAAAUCCCGGAGCUCAACUCCGGAACUGCCUUUGAUACUGGUCGUCUAGAGAUCGGAAGAGGUGAGUGGAAUUCCCAGUGUAGAGGUGAAAUUCGUAGAUAUUGGGAAGAACACCAGUGGCGAAGGCGGCUCACUGGUCCGAUACUGACGCUGAGGUGCGAAAGCGUGGGGAGCAAACAGG